AAACGGUUACAUGACUGGCGGAAAUAUUGUAGACUUAACUACGAUGAAGUGUAACUGGAGAAAUGCCGACCGCCUGGGCGAUUAUU
This 86-nucleotide non-coding RNA is filed under the name Desulfitobacterium metallireducens. RNAcentral describes it as "ZTP sequence". It matches the Rfam family "ZMP/ZTP riboswitch aptamer (pfl RNA motif)". Rfam says of the family: Previously known as pfl RNA. ZMP is also known as AICAR. RNAcentral also lists the same sequence under 1 other name. Lineage: Bacteria; Bacillati; Bacillota; Clostridia; Eubacteriales; Desulfitobacteriaceae. The record is from RNAcentral.